CAAAAAAUAGUUUAAUUAAUAAAAUAUUAAUUUUGGAAAUUAAAGUUAUAAAAAUUAUUUUUUUGA
This 66-nucleotide transfer RNA is filed under the name Dinocampus coccinellae. Its description in RNAcentral is "tRNA-Pro". The record is from RNAcentral. Lineage: Eukaryota; Metazoa; Arthropoda; Insecta; Hymenoptera; Braconidae.